AAACCGACACAGGUAGUCGGGUCGAGAAGACCAAGGUGAGCGAGAGAACUCUCGUUAAGGAACUCGGCAAAAUGACCCCGUAACUUCGGGAGAAGGGGUGCUGAUCGCAAGAUCAGCCGCAGUGAAUAGGCCCAGGCGACUGUUUAUCAAAAACACAGGUUUCUGCAAGAUCGUAAGAUGAAGUAUAGGGGCUGACGCCUGCCCGGUGCUGGAAGGUUAAGAGGAUGGGUUAGCGUAAGCGAAGCUCAGAAUUGAAGCCCCAGUAAACGGCGGCCGUAACAAUAACGGUCCUAAGGUAGCGAAAUUCCUUGUCGGGUAAGUUCCGACCCGCACGAAAGGCGUAACGAUCUGGGCACUGUCUCAACGAGAGACUCGGUGAAAUUAUAAUACCCGUGAAGAUGCGGGUUACCCGCGACAGGACGGAAAGACCCCAUGGAGCUUUACUGUAGCUUGAUAUUGGGUGUUUGUACAACUUGUACAGGAUAGGUAGGAGCCGUAGAAGUCGGGACGCUAGUUUCGACGGAGGCAUCGGUGGGAUACUACCCUCGUUGUAUGAACACUCUAACCCACGCCGGCAAUCACGGCGGGAGACAGUGUCAGGUGGGCAGUUUGACUGGGGCGGUCGCCUCCUAAAAGGUAACGGAGGCGCCCAAAGGUUCCCUCAGAAUGGUUGGAAAUCAUUCGCAGAGUGUAAAGGCAUAAGGGAGCUUGACUGCGAGACCUACAAGUCGAGCAGGGACGAAAGUCGGGCUUAGUGAUCCGGUGGUUCCGCAUGGAAGGGCCAUCGCUCAACGGAUAAAAGCUACCCUGGGGAUAGCAGGCUUAUCUCCCCCAAGAGUCCACAUCGACGGGGAGGUUUGGCACCUCGAUGUCGGCUCAUCGCAUCCUGGGGCUGUAGUCGGUUCCAAGGGUUGGGCUGUUCGCCCAUUAAAGCGGUACGCGAGCUGGGUUCAGAACGUCGUGAGACAGUUCGGUCCCUAUCCGUCGCGGGCGCAGGAAAUUUGAGAGGAUCUGUCCUUAGUACGAGAGGACCGGGAUGGACAUACCGCUGGUGUACCAGUUGUUCUGCCAAGGGCAUCGCUGGGUAGCUAUGUAUGGAUGAGAUAAACGCUGAAAGCAUCUAAGUGCGAAACUCACCUCGAGAUAAGAUUUCCCACUCCUUUAUGGAGUUAAGACCCCUGAGAGAUGAUCAGGUAGAUAGGAUGGAAGUGGAAGUGCGGCGACGCAUGGAGCGGACCAUUACUAAUCGGUCGAGGACUU
Molecule: ribosomal RNA, 1260 nt
Filed under: metagenome
Description: bacterial LSU rRNA
Rfam family: Bacterial large subunit ribosomal RNA
Source: RNAcentral